RNAcentral lists this unclassified non-coding RNA (403 nucleotides) under Hevea brasiliensis (rubber tree). The record is from RNAcentral. Lineage: Eukaryota; Viridiplantae; Streptophyta; Magnoliopsida; Malpighiales; Euphorbiaceae.
CCUCUGCAUCCAAAAUCGAAACCCUAAAAUCGGAAGAUAAAAUAAAGAUGAGCGGAGGGGGAGAGAAGGGGUCGACAACCACAAAAACCCCUGCAGACUUCUUGAAAUCAAUUCGUGGGCGACCAGUUGUUGUCAAACUGAAUUCUGGUGUUGAUUAUCGAGGUAUUUUAGCAUGUUUAGAUGGAUAUAUGAACAUAGCAAUGGAACAAACUGAAGAAUAUGUUAAUGGGCAAUUGAAGAACAAGUAUGGCGAUGCUUUUAUUCGUGGAAACAAUGUUCUGUACAUUAGUACAUCAAAGAGGACAUUAGCAGAUGGGGCUUAGUAUUGCAGUGCCAUAAAAGAAUGGAGAAGAUUUGGAGUUUGGACUUUUCUUUUCUUUUUUUUUUUUUGUUUUGAAUGAUU